Molecule: long non-coding RNA, 499 nt
Filed under: Olea europaea (common olive)
Lineage: Eukaryota; Viridiplantae; Streptophyta; Magnoliopsida; Lamiales; Oleaceae
Description: long non-coding RNA (OEUR_LNC013286)
Source: RNAcentral
UAUUGGAUCGCAGAAUCCAGCAAUUAAGGACAAAAGAAAUUCUGUUAGUAAGAGUUCAAUGGAGGAACCAUAAUGUCGAAGAAUCAACAUGGGAAAGAGAAGAGGAAAUCAAGACCAAGUAUCCAGAACUUUUCAACUAAGUUUAAGGUAAUUUCGAGGACGAAAUUUUUUUAACGGAGGAGGGAUGUAAUACUCCGAAAUUUUAUGCUCGUUUAAAUUUUCAUAGGAUAGCGAUUUAACUUUCAAUAUUAUUUUUGGCCAUAAGGAAAAGGGGACACCACCUUUGUAGUGGUUAAUGCUAGAGGUAGUUAAUGAAUGCAAGCAUGAAGUGCUAAAUGUUGUGUAUUCAUGAAGUGAUUAUUAGUUAGUCGAAACUUAAGUCAAGUUUGAAUUUGAAUGAAGUGGAUUAUUUUGUUAGGACUUCAAUUGACCAAACGAUUAAAUUAUUUUACAAUCUACAAUUUUUGAAUAUGUAAGUUGGAUACAAGUUUAAAUUUGG